UGCUUAGCAUGUUAACCAGGUGCGUGCACGUCUAAAGUGCUGCUUUCCAUUCAAAGUGGGAGCCAAAGCGGUGUGUUUUAAGAGGCUAUUAAAGAAAUAAAAAGUCACCUUUUUGGAGUUUUCCGUGUGGAUAGGCGUGCGGAGCAGGAGCAGCGUGGAGACGAGGACAAGCGGAGGCUGUCGAAGGUGAGACAGAACGAUUGCCUCGUCGGCCCGCCUUAAAUAGGUUUCCGUUGAUGACGUCACUUCCGGAAA
Long non-coding RNA from Hippocampus comes (tiger tail seahorse), 255 nucleotides. RefSeq lists it as uncharacterized. Lineage: Eukaryota; Metazoa; Chordata; Actinopteri; Syngnathiformes; Syngnathidae. The record is from RefSeq and is a predicted model, not a curated record. The transcript has 2 exons.